GUUUUCGCUUUUAGUUUUUGCAACAUGCUUCACUUCGGGUUUAAAACGGAGCCGUUUUCACUGGGGUGUGGACGUGAGGGCAACCCUAAGCGGGCGCCUAUUCACUAAUGAUCCUUCCGCAGGUUCACCUACGGAAA
This 137-nucleotide unclassified non-coding RNA is filed under the name uncultured fungus. RNAcentral describes it as "sequence contains ITS1". The record is from RNAcentral. Lineage: Eukaryota; Fungi.